GUUUGAUCAUGGCUCAGGACGAACGCUAGCGGCGUGCCUAAGGUAUGCAAGUCGAACGGACCCGCAUGGGUUAGUGGCGAACGGUUGAGUAACACGUAGACAACCUGCCUCGAAGUGGGGGACAACAGCGGGAAACUGCUGCUAAUACCGCAUGUGGCCCUGUUCCGCCUGGGACGGUGGCUAAAGGCGCAAGUCGCUUCGAGAUGGGUCUGCGGCCUAUCUGUUUGUUGGUGGGGUAACGGCCUACCAAGACGACCACGGGUAGCUGGUCUGAGAGGAUGAUCAGCCAGACGGGGACUGAGACACGGCCCCGACUCCUUCGGGAGGCAGCAAUGAGGAAUAUUGCGCAAUGGGCGAAAGCCUGACGCAGCGACGCCGCGUGGGUGAGGAAGUUCUUCGGAAUGUAAAGCCCUUUUGUCGGGGACGAUCACAGACGGUACCCGCAGAAUAAGCCCCGGCUAACUUCGUGCCAGCAGCCGCGGUAAGACGAAGGGGGCUAGCGUUGUUCGGAAUUACUGGGCGUAAAGGGCGCGCAGGCGGCUUUGCAAGUCAGGCGUUAAAGACCCAGGCUCAACCUGGGGAAUGCGCUUGAUACUGCGGAGCCUGAGAUCGGAAGAGGAGAGUGGAAUUCCCAGUGUAGAGGUGAAAUUCGUAGAUAUUGGGAAGAACACCAGUGGCGAACGCGGCUCUCUGGUCCGAUUCUGACGCUGAGGCGCGAAAGCGUGGGGAGCAAACAGGAUUAGAUACCCUGGUAGUCCACGCCGUAAACGAUGUGUGCUGGACGUUGGAAGGCCUAGCCUUUCGGUGUCGUAUCUAACGCGUUAAGCACACCGCCUGGGGAGUACUGGCCGCAAGGUUAAACUCAUAUGAAUUGACGG
RNAcentral lists this ribosomal RNA (878 nucleotides) under uncultured bacterium. RNAcentral's name for it is "partial 16S ribosomal RNA". It matches the Rfam family "Bacterial small subunit ribosomal RNA", at positions 11 to 916 of the family's 1533-position model. The record is from RNAcentral.